UACGAAGGGGGCUAGCGUUGUUCGGAAUCACUGGGCGUAAAGCGCACGUAGGCGGCUCUUUAAGUCAGGGGUGAAAUCCCGAGGCUCAACCUCGGAACUGCCUUUGAUACUGGGGAUCUCGAGUCCGGGAGAGGUGAGUGGAACUGCGAGUGUAGAGGUGAAAUUCGUAGAUAUUCGCAAGAACACCAGUGGCGAAGGCGGCUCACUGGCCCGGAACUGACGCUGAGGUGCGAAAGCGUGGGGAGCAAACAGG
This 253-nucleotide ribosomal RNA is filed under the name uncultured bacterium. Its description in RNAcentral is "partial 16S ribosomal RNA". It matches the Rfam family "Bacterial small subunit ribosomal RNA", at positions 524 to 776 of the family's 1533-position model. The record is from RNAcentral.